This 76-nucleotide transfer RNA is filed under the name Alphaproteobacteria bacterium. Its description in RNAcentral is "tRNA-Thr". It matches the Rfam family "tRNA". From Rfam's summary of the family: Transfer RNA (tRNA) molecules are approximately 80 nucleotides in length. Their secondary structure includes four short double-helical elements and three loops (D, anti-codon, and T loops). Further hydrogen bonds mediate the characteristic L-shaped molecular structure. tRNAs have two regions of fundamental functional importance: the anti-codon, which is responsible for specific mRNA codon recognition, and the 3' end, to which the tRNAs corresponding amino acid is attached (by aminoacyl-tRNA synthetases). tRNAs cope with the degeneracy of the genetic code in two manners: having more than one tRNA (with a specific anti-codon) for a particular amino acid; and 'wobble' base-pairing, i.e. permitting non-standard base-pairing at the 3rd anti-codon position. The record is from RNAcentral. Lineage: Bacteria; Pseudomonadati; Pseudomonadota; Alphaproteobacteria. RNAcentral also lists the same sequence under 1 other name.
GCCGCGCUAGCUCAGUCGGUAGAGCAGCCGAUUUGUAAUCGGCAGGUCGCGGGUUCGAAUCCUGCGCGCGGCACCA